Molecule: long non-coding RNA, 1014 nt
Filed under: Callithrix jacchus (white-tufted-ear marmoset)
Lineage: Eukaryota; Metazoa; Chordata; Mammalia; Primates; Cebidae
Description: lncRNA (ENSCJAG00000071399.1)
Source: RNAcentral
AUGUCUUGGCCACCAGAGCUUCCCUCUUUGGGCCCCUCCUCCCCUUCCUCGCUGCCAGCCUUUUCCCUAGAGUCACUAACCCUCUGUAGUGGCCCUGACCUCAUCGGUUUGCAGAAUCUAUCACCUCCAGUGCUCAGCAUCUACGUUAAAGAACUGUCUUUCUGCACGGCAUGUCCCCAGCCCAACCCCAAAUGCACCCCCAAUAUAGUCCUUGCCCCCAAACACAAUCCUGUCAUCAGCCCAGCCCACUGCAAGCUCAUCCACAUCUCCAAUUCCAACCUGGUUUCUCCUGCUCCAUCUCAGUCCCCACCUGGUUCCCAUCUCCCAUCUCCAGGCCCCCAUCUUUUGGGAUGGAGCAAACACUUGAUCCUUCCUGGCCUCAGUCUUCCUGCCCGGAAUUGCAGGACAUUCGACCCAAUGCCAUCACCUCUCUUCUCCCUUGGUGGCACCAAGGUCUCCAAUGCUCCCUUGCACCCUGUCUGGGCCUGUGAGUCCCCAAAUUCUCCCCUGCACCUUCCUCCCGUUCUCAUUGCCUUUCUGCCUUCUCGCCGGCACUCCCCGGGGAUCGGGCCCCAGAUUCUCUCUCUGCCCCCAGCCUCUGCUGUGUUCAAGGCACAGGUUCUCAUCAGCUCUGGUCCAGUGCAGCUCAGGGCACCUGUUUUCCCAGAGGGGCUCCGGGUGGGAGGGGGACCCCUGCCCCCUGUCCCCAGCACACUCACCUCUGUCCUCAUGCCCGUCCUUCUCUUCCUGCUGCUGUCCUGUCCCCAGGCUACUUCAGCCAGGACUGCUGAGAGCUUGGAUCUGAGGAGGGGGGGCUCGGAGGAGGACAAUUUCCUGUCAGGAAACCCCUCCCUCCCUGGGGCCAGGGGUGGGAAGGACUCAUUAUCUGUCUGCCCUUUUAGGCCAGGCUGCGGUUGGACUGGGAAGGCCGAGGCCCACAGCCAGGCCCCCACCCUCACUCCCGCUCCAGGCCAGAAUCCGCCACCUGCCUGCUCUUCACGCCUCCCAAGGUGA